This 743-nucleotide ribosomal RNA is filed under the name uncultured Capnocytophaga sp. Its description in RNAcentral is "bacterial SSU rRNA". It matches the Rfam family "Bacterial small subunit ribosomal RNA", at positions 28 to 776 of the family's 1533-position model. Lineage: Bacteria; Pseudomonadati; Bacteroidota; Flavobacteriia; Flavobacteriales; Flavobacteriaceae. The record is from RNAcentral.
GAUGAACGCUAGCGGCAGGCCUAACACAUGCAAGUCGAGGGAGGAGCUUUCGGGCUUCGACCGGCGUACGGGUGCGUAACGCGUAUACAAUCUGCCUUUCACAUAGGGAUAGCCCGAAGAAAUUUGGAUUAAUACCUAAUGGUAUAUAGGAGUGGCAUCACAUUUAUAUUAAAGCUAAGGCGGUGAAAGAUGAGUAUGCGUUCUAUUAGCUAGUUGGAGAGGUAACGGCUCCCCAAGGCGACGAUAGAUAGGGGUUCUGAGAGGGAUAUCCCCCACACUGGUACUGAGAUACGGACCAGACUCCUACGGGAGGCAGCAGUGAGGAAUAUUGGACAAUGGUCGGAAGACUGAUCCAGCCAUGCCGCGUGCAGGAAGACGGCCUUAUGGGUUGUAAACUGCUUUUGCAGGGGAAGAAUAAGGACUACGAGUAGUUUGAUGACGGUACUCUGCGAAUAAGCAUCGGCUAACUCCGUGCCAGCAGCCGCGGUAAUACGGAGGAUGCGAGCGUUAUCCGGAAUCAUUGGGUUUAAAGGGUCCGUAGGCGGGCUAAUAAGUCAGAGGUGAAAGCGCUCAGCUCAACUGAGCAACUGCCUUUGAAACUGUUAGUCUUGAAUGGUUGUGAAGUAGUUGGAAUGUGUAGUGUAGCGGUGAAAUGCUUAGAUAUUACACAGAACACCGAUAGCGAAGGCAUAUUACUAACAAUUAAUUGACGCUGAUGGACGAAAGCGUGGGGAGCGAACAGG